CCUACGGGAUGCAGCAGUAGGGAAUAUUGCUCAAUGGGGGAAACCCUGAAGCAGCAACGCCGCGUGGAGGAUGAAGGUUUUCGGAUUGUAAACUCCUUUUGUUAGAGAAGAUAAUGACGGUAUCUAACGAAUAAGCACCGGCUAAUACCGUGCCAGCAGCCGCGGUAAUACGGAGGGUGCAAGCGUUACUCGGAAUCACGGGGCGUAAAGAGCGCGUAGGCGGGUUAGCAAGUCAGAUGUGAAAUCCUAGGGCUUAACCAUAGAACUGCAUUUGAAACUGUUAUUCUAGAGUAUGGGAGAGGUAGGUGGAAUUCUUGGUGUAGGGGUGAAAUGCGUAGAGAUCAAGAGGAAUACUGAUUGCGAAGGCGACCUGCUGGAACAUAACUGACGCUGAGGCGCGAAAGCGUGGGGAGCAAACAGGAUUAGAUACCCCUGUAGUC
RNAcentral lists this ribosomal RNA (440 nucleotides) under uncultured bacterium. RNAcentral's name for it is "partial 16S ribosomal RNA". It matches the Rfam family "Bacterial small subunit ribosomal RNA", at positions 338 to 795 of the family's 1533-position model. The record is from RNAcentral.